RNAcentral lists this ribosomal RNA (119 nucleotides) under Pteropus vampyrus (large flying fox). The record is from RNAcentral. Lineage: Eukaryota; Metazoa; Chordata; Mammalia; Chiroptera; Pteropodidae.
GUCUACGGCCAUGCUACCCUGAACAAACCCAAUCCCGUCUGAUCUCAGAAGAUAAGCAGAGUCGGGCCUGGUUAGUACUUGGACAGGAGACCACCUAAGAAGACGAGGUGCUGUAGGCA